GAUGAACGCUGGCGGCGUGCUUAACACAUGCAAGUCGAACGGAAGGACCCUGCGUUUGUGUCUUUCUCGAUUGGCGAACGGGUGAGUAACACGUGAGUAACCUCCCCUUGUCUUUGUGAGAACUUCAGGAAACUGGGGCGAAUACCGGGGAGGAGCUCCUGCUGCGUGGGGGUGGUUGGAAAAUGUCGGCGGUGGGAUAUGGACUCGCGGGUUAUCAGCUUGUUUGUGGGGUAGUGGCUUUCCAAGUCUUUGACGGGUAGCCUGCCUGGGAGGGUGAACGGCCACCUGGGGCCUGCGAGACGGCCCAGUAGCCAACGGGAGGCAGUAGUCGGGAGUAUUGCACAACGGCGGGACGCCUGAUGCAGCAACGUCGCGUGCGGGAUGACGGCUUUCGAGUUGUAAACAGAUUUCGAAUGUGCCGAAGAGUGCGUGACGGUAAUGGGUAAGGAAGCCACGGCUAACUACGUG
RNAcentral lists this ribosomal RNA (468 nucleotides) under uncultured bacterium. Its description in RNAcentral is "partial 16S ribosomal RNA". It matches the Rfam family "Bacterial small subunit ribosomal RNA", at positions 28 to 507 of the family's 1533-position model. The record is from RNAcentral.